RNAcentral lists this transfer RNA (71 nucleotides) under Loxodonta africana (African savanna elephant). It matches the Rfam family "tRNA". Rfam says of the family: Transfer RNA (tRNA) molecules are approximately 80 nucleotides in length. Their secondary structure includes four short double-helical elements and three loops (D, anti-codon, and T loops). Further hydrogen bonds mediate the characteristic L-shaped molecular structure. tRNAs have two regions of fundamental functional importance: the anti-codon, which is responsible for specific mRNA codon recognition, and the 3' end, to which the tRNAs corresponding amino acid is attached (by aminoacyl-tRNA synthetases). tRNAs cope with the degeneracy of the genetic code in two manners: having more than one tRNA (with a specific anti-codon) for a particular amino acid; and 'wobble' base-pairing, i.e. permitting non-standard base-pairing at the 3rd anti-codon position. The record is from Rfam by way of RNAcentral. Lineage: Eukaryota; Metazoa; Chordata; Mammalia; Proboscidea; Elephantidae.
GCAGCGGUGUUUCAGGGGUAGAAUUCAUACCUUCCAUGUGGGAGACCUGGGUUCAAUUCCUGGCCAGUGCA